Molecule: ribosomal RNA, 541 nt
Filed under: uncultured archaeon
Lineage: Archaea
Description: bacterial SSU rRNA
Rfam family: Archaeal small subunit ribosomal RNA
Source: RNAcentral
GGCAGCAGCCGCGGUAACACCGGCAGCUCGUAGUGGUAGCAAUUUUAUUGGGCCUAAAGCGUCCGUAGCCGGUUUAAUAAGUCUCUGGUGAAAUCCUGCAGCUUAACUGUGGGAAUUGCUGGAGAUACUAUUAGACUUGAGACCGGGAGAGGUUAGAGGUACUCCCAGGGUAGAGGUGAAAUUCUGUAAUCCUGGGAGGACCGCCUGUUGCGAAGGCGUCUAACUGGAACGGUUCUGACGGUGAGGGACGAAAGUUAGGGGCGCGAACCGGAUUAGAUACCCGGGUAGUCCUAACUGUAAACGAUGCGGACUUGGUGUUGGGGUGGCUUUGGGCUGCUUCAGUGCCGAAGGGAAGCUGUUAAGUCCGCCGCCUGGGAAGUACGGUCGCAAGACUGAAACUUAAGGAAUUGGCGGGGGAGCACCACAACGCGUGGAGCCUGCCGGUUUAAUUGGAUUCAACGCCGGACAUCUCACCAGAGGCGACAGCUGUAUGAUAGCCAGGUUGAUGACUUUGCUUGACUAGCUGAGAAGAGGUGCAUGG